Molecule: ribosomal RNA, 465 nt
Filed under: Holothuria atra
Lineage: Eukaryota; Metazoa; Echinodermata; Holothuroidea; Aspidochirotida; Holothuriidae
Description: partial 16S ribosomal RNA
Rfam family: Bacterial large subunit ribosomal RNA
Source: RNAcentral
UUUGCAGAAAACUUGACCGUGCAAAGGUAGCAUAAUCAUUUGUCUUUUAAAUGGAAACUUGUAUGAACGGCAAAACCUUUUUCAGCUGUCUCCUUUUCUACCUUUUAAAUUUCUUUCUGUGUGAAGAAGCACAGAUACACAAGAAAGACGAGAAGACCCUGUCGAGCUUUAGCCACUAAGUGAAUAAUAUUGCCCAUUAAAUAUCACCCAAAGGCUUUGGUUGGGGCAACCAAGGAGAAAAAAAAUCCUCCAGAACAAAGAAGAAAACCCUUCACUGAUAACUUCCUAAAGAACCAAAUUGGCAUUCGGAAAAAGUUACCGCAGGGUUAACAGCGUAAUCCUCUCUGAGAGUCCUCAUUGACGAGAGGGUUUGCGACCUCGAUGUUGGAUUGGGGAACCCUUACGGUGCAGAAGCUGUAAAAGGUUAGACUGUUCGUCUAUUAAAACCCUACGUGAUCUGAGUUC